AGUGAACGCUGGCGGUAUGCCUAAUACAUGCAAGUCGAGCGACAAGAUAGGAAGAUUGUUCUCUUGCGGUUGGCGACGGGCGGGCGAGUAAGGAAUGGAUAGGAUUCUACUUUGACGGGGAGAAUAUCGGGGAGAAGCAGACACUAAUGGCUAAUACGUCCUACGGGUGAAAUCAAUAGUGCUUGGGAGCUUUGCCGACAGAUUGAGACGAAGUCGGAUUAGCUAGUUGGGUGGGUAAAGGCCCACCAAGGCGACGAUCCGUAGCCGGUCUGAGAGGAUGAUCAGCCACACUGGAACUGAGACACGGUCCAGACUCCUACGGGAGGCAGCAGUGGGGAAUAUUGCACAAUGGGCGAAAGCCUGACCCAGCAAUACCGCGUGGGUGAAGAAGGCCUUCGGGUUGUAAAGCCCUUUUGUUGGGGAAGAACAGCAGCAGGUUAAUCUCUCGACGUUCUGACGGUACCCAAUGAAUAAGCCCCGGCUAACUUCGUG
Molecule: ribosomal RNA, 492 nt
Filed under: uncultured bacterium
Lineage: Bacteria
Description: partial 16S ribosomal RNA
Rfam family: Bacterial small subunit ribosomal RNA
Source: RNAcentral